Stegodyphus dumicola is the source of this 1500-nucleotide long non-coding RNA. Lineage: Eukaryota; Metazoa; Arthropoda; Arachnida; Araneae; Eresidae. The record is from RefSeq and is a predicted model, not a curated record.
UCAAGAAACCCUCCCAGAUUUUAGCUUUAUCCAUUAGAUACAAAUUACCGAACGUAAAAGUGCCAGAAUUUUCUUCAUUAAAUAAAUAAAAGUAUUAAUAAUAAUAAAAGAAAUGAAUUCAAUAAGUCUGCAUCAGCAUCUCUGCACAAUAAUGCGCCUUUCCGUUCCUCCUUCUCAUCUAAGGCGCAAGGUACGGGCGCGCAGAGACACUAUACCCCUGGGGGAGUAGCGAGCAGAGACUGCUUGAAUGACGUCUUUGUCAUUAAUCAGUUAGUACCAAAUGGCCGAGUGCUCACACCAUCGGUGUAUAUACCUCUGAAUGUCUGUGGACGACCGAUUCCGCUGCGAUCCGCCGGUUACCAUGCCAACAGCGCUACACCACCGCUGCCGCAUAGCAUGAUUACCCGGUAUUACUACGAACGGAAUACCAUAGUAUAUUCCAGUCAGCGAACCCCCCUUACCUCAUCCAAUCAUCGAAAGCAAAGAUGUUUACAAUAAACAAUUGUUUACUUCGCCCGUGCUACUUUUAGCGAAAACCCCGUGCACACCGAAUCGUGUGUGUGUGUAUGUGUGUGCGUGUGACGAGACGAAGUAGAGAGGGAGAAAGAGGGAACGCCAUGUUGUAUAAAAUUGUUUGAGUUAGUCUGAUGUGACGAGAGGGCCGAAGUCAGCUGAUACGGAAGUAAACAAUUUCGGAUUUUCGAUUUUCCAUCGGGUGUGAAAAUGUAUUGGAAUCGUAACAUUUAGAUCUUUUACAAAAAAGGAUUAUGUGUUUUUUAAAAUCGCCGAUCAAUUCGCAAGAAUAUCGCCAACUCGAUCGGAAGACUCUUGUGUAAUUAGUCCCCAGUGCAUAAUCGAGCUGUGGCGGUAGCAGCUCGAGUUCGGAGAGAAAAACAAGCGGAGACACAAAACGUCGCGAUUGUUACCUGACCUUCGCUCAGCUUUCCUUGGCUUUUUUUCUCAAAUCAUCAACGCUGGGCUAUCAUACAGUCUUCAGAGAAGAAAUAGGAUAUUUCAGAAGCAUACUGUCUGUCUAUGGGAAGAACAGCUUCUACCACAGUGUCUGGCGGGCGGUGUCACUAUGGAAUGCAGUUUGGAGAUUGCAACUGUACCUGUUUCUUACCCGAGGGGACAAUCUCGCUACGAUUCAGCGUAUGACAAGCAACAGGAGAGUUGAGGUUGUGGAGAGAGAUUGUUUCAAGAGAGCUUAGACAAAUUCCUCACUUAGUGUGUACGGGAGUUUGAAAUUAUCCUCUGCAUGUUCAACGAGCUGACUUUUCCAAGAUAGAAGACCGUAUGUCCACUGGGAAUACUGGAGGUGAAUUGUCCUACUUGGAGUAUUUUGUCGUGCUAGGAGAUUUAGCAUGGACUAAUCUUUCCGAGCACAGUACAUUUGUAACCCUGUAGAAGUAUUAUUAAGUGUUAUCUACAUACCAGAUUGAUGUAAUCCUAACAUCUUGCAUUUAUAUUUUUAUUAAAAUUCUUGCUAUUGUUUUAUAA